Molecule: ribosomal RNA, 355 nt
Filed under: Triticum aestivum (bread wheat)
Lineage: Eukaryota; Viridiplantae; Streptophyta; Magnoliopsida; Poales; Poaceae
Description: partial small subunit ribosomal RNA
Source: RNAcentral
UCCCGCUGCGCUCGGGCGCUCGGCUCCUUCCAUCAGGUCGCGCCGCCGCCAGCAGCCAGGACGCACCGGCGCCUCCGCCUGUCCACUCCACCAGCCACCCGGACAUCCCGCCGCCAGCCGCUCCUGGCCUCCUUCCAACAGAACGCAGCGACACGCCGCCAUUCGCCUUCUCGGUCGGAGCAACCACGCCCGCCUCCCAUCUUGAUUUCUGACCGCUGUCGCCGUUUUGGGUCUGGUCUCCCGAGCAGGAAGAGCUACAGGCUGCAGCUACUACCGGCCUACCGCCUCCGACCCUUCGCCUCAUCCGCACAGCCGACCGACGCCCUCGUCCUAGUGGCCAGUUCUCAGUCAGUGG